CCUACGGUGUGCAGCAGUGGGGAAUAUUGCACAAUGGAGGAAACCCUGAUGCAGCGACGCCGCGUGAGCGAAGAAGUAUUUCGGUAUGUAAAGCUCUAUCAGCAGGGAAGAAAAUGACGGUACCUUAGUAAGAAGCUCCGGCUACAUACGUGCCAGCAGCCGCGGUAAUACGUAUGGAGCAAGCGUUACACGGAUUUACUGGGCGUAAAGGGAGCGUAGGCGGCCUGCCAAGUCUGAUGUGAAAUACCGUGGCUCAACCCCGGGGCUGCAUUGGAAACGGGCAGUCUUGAGUGCAGGAGAGGCAGGCGGAAUUCCUAGUGUAGCGGUGAAAGGCGUAGAUAUUAGGAGGAACACCAGUGGCGAAGGCGGCCUGCUGGACGGUGACUGACGCUGAGGCUCGAAAGCGUGGGGAGCAAACAGGAUUAGAUACCCUAGUAGUC
Molecule: ribosomal RNA, 440 nt
Filed under: uncultured bacterium
Lineage: Bacteria
Description: partial 16S ribosomal RNA
Rfam family: Bacterial small subunit ribosomal RNA
Source: RNAcentral